GCAUGGUUGUCGUCAGCUCGUGUCGUGAGAUGUUGGUUAAGUCCCGCAACGAGCGCAACCCCUAUUGUUAGUUGCCAUCAUUCAGUUGGGCACUCUAGCGAGACUGCCGGUAAUAAACCGGAGGAAGGUGGGGAUGACGUCAAAUCAUCAUGCCCCUUAUGACCUGGGCUACACACGUGCUACAAUGGUUGGUACAACGAGUUGCGAGUCGGUGACGGCGAGCUAAUCUCUUAAAGCCAAUCUCAGUUCGGAUUGUAGGCUGCAACUCGCCUACAUGAAGUCGGAAUCGCUAGUAAUCGCGGAUCAGCACGCCGCGGUGAAUACGUUCCCGGGCCUU
Molecule: ribosomal RNA, 337 nt
Filed under: uncultured Streptococcus sp.
Lineage: Bacteria; Bacillati; Bacillota; Bacilli; Lactobacillales; Streptococcaceae
Description: bacterial SSU rRNA
Rfam family: Bacterial small subunit ribosomal RNA
Source: RNAcentral